AUGUAUUGGAGGGUGAGAAUGGUUGUGUUUCUCGGCUGGACUCUGCUCUCUGUGUGCCUGCUGGUUUCUGCCUCGCAAGCCCAGAAAAACAUCACAGCUGAGUCUGGACAGAAUGUCACGCUGACAUGUCGAGCUCCAGGCAACAUCCAGACUGUGGAGUGGAGCAGAGCUGACCUGGGAGAGAAAUAUGUUUUUUUGUAUCGGGAUGGGAGGAAAACUUUAGUGCACCAACAUCCAUCUUUUAAGGACCGGGUGGAUCUACAGGACAAACAGAUGAAGGAUGGAAACGUGUCCUUGAUUCUGAAGAAUGUGACGAUUAAUGACACUGGAACAUACGAGUGUCGUGUAAAGGCAAACAAAAAAAGACGCAGGAAGAGAGCUAAUCUGAAUGCUCCCCCCAUCAGCAUCAUCUACCUUCAUGUUGAUCCUCCAGGAUCUGUUGGACUGAUCGUUGGUGUGGUAGUUGCUGCUGUCCUCAUCAUUGCUGCUUUUGUUGGGUUUGUGAUCUACAGGAAGCAUAAAGGAGAAAAGAUUCAGGGUUCACACUAA
RNAcentral lists this long non-coding RNA (549 nucleotides) under Oreochromis niloticus (Nile tilapia). RNAcentral describes it as "lncRNA (ENSONIG00000017299.2)". Lineage: Eukaryota; Metazoa; Chordata; Actinopteri; Cichliformes; Cichlidae. The record is from RNAcentral.